This 628-nucleotide ribosomal RNA is filed under the name uncultured Alphaproteobacteria bacterium. RNAcentral describes it as "bacterial SSU rRNA". It matches the Rfam family "Bacterial small subunit ribosomal RNA", at positions 30 to 704 of the family's 1533-position model. Lineage: Bacteria; Pseudomonadati; Pseudomonadota; Alphaproteobacteria. The record is from RNAcentral.
CGAACGCUGGCGGCAUGCCUAAUACAUGCAAGUCGAACGAGAUCUUCGGAUCUAGUGGCGCACGGGUGCGUAACGCGUGGGAAUCUGCCCUUGGGUUCGGAAUAACAUCUGGAAACGGAUGCUAAUACCGGAUGAUGACGUAAGUCCAAAGAUUUAUCGCCCAAGGAUGAGCCCGCGUAGGAUUAGCUAGUUGGUGAGGUAAAGGCUCACCAAGGCUACGAUCCUUAGCUGGUCUGAGAGGAUGAUCAGCCACACUGGGACUGAGACACGGCCCAGACUCCUACGGGAGGCAGCAGUAGGGAAUAUUGGACAAUGGGGGCAACCCUGAUCCAGCAAUGCCGCGUGAGUGAUGAAGGCCUUAGGGUUGUAAAGCUCUUUUACCCGAGAUGAUAAUGACAGUAUCGGGAGAAUAAGCUCCGGCUAACUCCGUGCCAGCAGCCGCGGUAAUACGGAGGGAGCUAGCGUUGUUCGGAAUUACUGGGCGUAAAGCGCACGUAGGCGGUUAUUUAAGUCAGAGGUGAAAGCCCGGGGCUCAACCCCGGAACUGCCUUUGAGACUGGAUAACUUGAAUCCAGGAGAGGUGAGUGGAAUUCCGAGUGUAGAGGUGAAAUUCGUAGAUAUUCGGAAG